Globicephala melas (long-finned pilot whale) is the source of this 3192-nucleotide long non-coding RNA. RefSeq lists it as uncharacterized. The record is from RefSeq and is a predicted model, not a curated record. Lineage: Eukaryota; Metazoa; Chordata; Mammalia; Artiodactyla; Delphinidae.
UCAGAAUGAAGAAAUGGAGAGUGCCUGGAGAGGUGUUUAGAGGGGCGAGGCGUCUAGGAUGAUGGUCCUGCCAUCACUGAGAUGGACCAGACGCGGCGAGUUGGAGAUGCGUGCACGGCAAGCCAAGUGGAACUGUCCGGCCAGGCCAGCGAAGAGAUGGGCGCGCCGAGGGCUGCAGAUGGAGCCUGGAGUGGGAGGCGCCUCCUGUGGGUGGUUAAUAACCACUCACAGCAAAUGAGUUGGUCCAGAAGGAAGGUGGAGGAAGAAACUGAGCGUGUCGCUGGGGACGAGAAGGAAUAAGAUUGGGGCGGGUGUGGGGAAGAGAGGACAGGAGGGGAAAGACCACGCAGACACUAAGCGGCUGCCAGGAGGUCAGCCCCGCGCGGGGCUGGGUGGGCUCGGGGCGCGGGGGCUGCAGGCGGAGCCCCGGCGCGCCCAGUGCCCGCAGGCGCGGGAGAGCCAACCCUGGCCAGGGCCUUCCCGCAGCUCCUCGGGCUGCCUCGGCCGCAGCCGCCGGGGGCAGCAGGGCACUCGCGCGGCCGGGCCACCACGGCCAUCCCAGUCACCCCAGGCUCCCGCCUGUCCAGGCCGCGCCUCCCCCCCGCCCGCGGACCUGGCGACGUCACUGCGGCUCUGACGCGCGCUAAUGGAGGCACGGGCGGAGGCGGCGUGGCGCAGGCACCCUCCCGGGAGGUCCCGGUCCUUGCAGCCCGUGGCCGCGUUCUUGGCCCUCCUCCAGGGAAACCUCGAUUUUCCAAACUCGGGAAGGCCGGCUGUCCUUCGGCUACUGAUUAGGACGCGAGCGCCUGGUAAAAGAUUUUAACAAUGCCCGGAAAGAAAUAGCCGGACCCAGGAAAGACUAAUAGCCGCCAGCUAGAGUUCUGCUCGUGUGCUCAGCGGUCUUAAGAACAAUAAUAACGACAACCACAAUAGCCACCAUUUAUUGAGCGCUUACUCUGUGCCAGGCACUGUGUUCAGCGCUUUGCAGGCAACAACCCUCGGAGGUGAGGUCACAAGACUGGUAAGUAGCGAUGCUGGGAAUCUACCAGGAGUAUCUGACUUUAAAGUGAUGUUCCCAUCACCCAUCACGCAGAAUGUACAAGGUGAUACAGCUGAACAAAAGAGGAGUGGCUCAGAGACCAGAAGACUGAGGGAGAGUAAGGAAGACUUUUCCAUUACCUGAGUUGCAGAGCUGUUUGGGUCUAGAGAACCUGUAUAUGUGUGCUGUGUCUGCACGGAGUUCAUGACUGUGCAUCCUCUGGCUAAUGUCCAAAGUCUUCAUAACAUGGGGACUGAGAUGUACCAAAAGAAGGCCUAUCUGUGAAGGAGGACAUGUGUCCACCCACCAAGAAGUUUUUGAUGGUCAGUGUCUGCGUGUUCAGCUGCUGGAUGAAGAGAUUUGGAAACCACUAAACAUUCCUACUGGGAUCUUUCCAAGUCCUUUUGGGAAUCGGCAACAGCGCUUAUCCGUGGAAAUUAGUUUUGCACUUUCACAGAGUGAGAAAUUCCUCGGGGGCAUUCUUGUUCUUGGGAAGAGGAAUCAAACCCUGCUCACUCCUUCAGGGCCCUGGCUCUUAGUAAAGCACAGCGAAUCCCAGUUCGGUUGGUCCAGCCUGAGGCCUUGGGGUGGGAGCAGAUGCAGCAGCUGAAGUACAGCGAAUUUCACCUGUGGCUAAGUCCCUACCCCCCCCCCCCCGACUGGCGCAAGCGUGAGACUUCAGUGGAUCGUGUUACCAGCGUGUAAACACCUUGAGUGGCCGCCAACGCUCCCAAGCGACCACAGAAGAUCUCAAACCUUUCCUAUCUUCCUAGAAACCCUGGCGGCCCGGCCGGCUGCUUGCUGUCUGAUGCAACAGUUUGCAACGCUGUUCUGGGAGCCGAGCCGGCCGCGGGGCGCUGGGCGUCCUGCCGAUGCGCCUGCGCGGGCUGCGGCCCGUCCUGCCGGGAGGGGGAGAAGCUUUUCACCAGAUGUGCUGGGGGCGGGGCGGGCAGGGAGACCUUUGGCAGCUCGCGCCGGCGAUCUGAGCUUAAUUAAACUUCUCCCGAGGCAUUGGCUGACUGAUUGACCCAGUGAUCCAAAAAAAUCAGAGAGGCCCGAAUCGCCCUAAACGCGACAGGAGAGCGAAGUUGGGGAGUUGGCUUUCGGUUUCCAGAGCUCGGCCUCUCUUCCCCGAGCCCCCCAAGUCCGCAAUGCUUUCGGGGUUCCAAAGCUCACUAGGGCGUCAGGUCUCGCUUGCUUGGGCCCUUCUACUGAAUUCUCAAAGAGGGAAGAAGAGUGGUUACAGAGGAGAAAAGAGGCAAAGUUUUGAUAGCAUCUAGAUCAGUAUCUUUCCUCCUUCAUUUCUCCACCCAUGUGCCUUAGAAGGUUUUAUAAGCAAAAAGGAACAUGGCAUCACGGAUUUUUUUCCAAAUUUUUGAGCCAUUUAGGUAUUGCCUGCAUGAUUUUCUUCCAUACUCACAUUCCUCCUAUAUUAUAUAUUUUAAGUUGACUUUUAUUUUAUUAACUUUCCUUAUUUUUAAAAUUAACUUUAAAUCGAUUCCCUUUUUCUACAUAGCCUUGCCUGAAGCAACAUUAGUGAAACCACAGCUCUGAUGUGCUAGUCAUAUAUUUUAAUACACUUGAAAAUAAACUCAUAACUAGUCAAAUUAAAAAAGUAUGUGUUAGCUAAAAUGUGUCUUGUCUACUACAUUUGAAGAAAAACUCCAGAGGUAAUAACAAUAGCUAACAUAUGCUGAGUGGUUGCCAAUGUCCCAGGCACUGUUCUAAGAUUCUAAGUCCUUAGGACACCUUAGAAGGUGGGUGUUGUUUACAUUUUACAGAGGAGAAAAGUGAGCCACAGAGAGGUUAGGGAACUUGCUUAAGGUCACAGAGCCAGGAUGCAAACUCUACUAGCCUCGCUCUAGACCUAUACUGCUGGCCUAAAAAGAGGCUAAGUUACUGCCGAGAUCCCCCAGGUGGUUAGCACACUCCAGAUUUGAACCCAAGUCUGACUGACUGCAGAACUGAGCUUUUAACUAACGUGUGGGACUCUUUUGCCUAUAUUCCCAAAUCUCACCUCACACAGCCUUCUCUCUGUCCGCUUCCUUUGGAAUCCAAAAUGCGCUUCCAGGUCUUUCUCUCCUUAUUCCCCCGCCCCCUGGGUGGGACAAAGUUUCUCUUUUCUAGUGUUUUCUUCUCUUCUCUGAAUUAAA